This 492-nucleotide ribosomal RNA is filed under the name uncultured bacterium. Its description in RNAcentral is "partial 16S ribosomal RNA". It matches the Rfam family "Bacterial small subunit ribosomal RNA", at positions 29 to 507 of the family's 1533-position model. The record is from RNAcentral.
AGUGGACGCUGGCGGUAGGCCUAACACAUGCAAGUCGAACGGCAGCACAGUAAGAGCUUGCUCUUACGGGUGGCGAGUGGCGGACGGGUGAGGAAUACAUCGGAAUCUACUUUUUCGUGGGGGAUAACGUAGGGAAACUUACGCUAAUACCGCAUACGACCUACGGGUGAAAGCAGGGGAUCUUCGGACCUUGCGCGAUUGAAUGAGCCGAUGUCGGAUUAGCUAGUUGGCGGGGUAAAGGCCCACCAAGGCGACGAUCCGUAGCUGGUCUGAGAGGAUGAUCAGCCACACUGGAACUGAGACACGGUCCAGACUCCUACGGGAGGCAGCAGUGGGGAAUAUUGGACAAUGGGCGCAAGCCUGAUCCAGCCAUACCGCGUGGGUGAAGAAGGCCCUCGGGUUGUAAAGCCCUUUUGUUGGGAAAGAAAAGCAGCAGGUUAAUACCCCGCUGUUCUGACGGUACCCAAAGAAUAAGCACCGGCUAACUUCGUG